GUUUAGUUUGCUGUUGGACGCACGCCUGCCUCGUUGCAACGCGCUGAAACCACAUCACAUUUAAAAAUAGACGCGUGGUAAAUACCAAAACAUGCUUCAAUCAGUUCAAUGAUACCCAUCAAAAAUACCUGGUUCAGUGUAUUCAACAACAGAGAAGAUUAUUUUGUAAUAAUUACGAGAAGCAAGAUAAGCUCUAAAAAAGCUUUCAAAGGGUCAAAAAAUCCUGAAUGACAAUAUCAUGAACCGACGACACCAAUACAAUAACGAGUAACUAUGAUACAUUGUCAAGGCUAGUGCUACCUGGGUAUACUAUGCCGAGAUAUG
Molecule: long non-coding RNA, 324 nt
Organism: Dendronephthya gigantea
Lineage: Eukaryota; Metazoa; Cnidaria; Anthozoa; Malacalcyonacea; Nephtheidae
Exons: 3
Source: RefSeq, a predicted model, not a curated record